Molecule: transfer RNA, 77 nt
Filed under: Eubacteriales bacterium
Lineage: Bacteria; Bacillati; Bacillota; Clostridia; Eubacteriales
Also listed under: 1 other name
Description: tRNA-Arg
Rfam family: tRNA
About the family: Transfer RNA (tRNA) molecules are approximately 80 nucleotides in length. Their secondary structure includes four short double-helical elements and three loops (D, anti-codon, and T loops).
Source: RNAcentral
CUGCCCGUAGCUCAGCUGGAUAGAGUGCCGGAUUCCGAUUCCGAUGGUCGCAGGUUCGAAUCCUGUCGGGCAGGCCA